RNAcentral lists this ribosomal RNA (519 nucleotides) under uncultured bacterium. RNAcentral describes it as "bacterial SSU rRNA". It matches the Rfam family "Bacterial small subunit ribosomal RNA", at positions 777 to 1308 of the family's 1533-position model. The record is from RNAcentral.
AAUAGAUACCCAGGUAGUCCACGCCGUAAACGAUGGAUACUAGCUGUUGGGGCGACCUCAGUGGCUAAGCGAAAGUGAUAAGUAUCCCACCUGGGGAGUACGUUCGCAAGAAUGAAACUCAAAGGAAUUGACGGGGGCCCGCACAAGCGGUGGAGCAUGUGGUUUAAUUCGAUGAUACGCGAGGAACCUUACCAAGGCUUAAAUGCAGACUGACCGUUUUGGAAACAGAACUUUCGCAAGACAGUCUACAAGGUGCUGCAUGGUUGUCGUCAGCUCGUGCCGUGAGGUGUCAGGUUAAGUCCUAUAACGAGCGCAACCCCUGUUGUUAGUUGCCAGCGAGUAGUGUCGGGAACUCUAACAAGACUGCCAGUGCAAACUGUGAGGAAGUGGGGAUGACGUCAAAUCAUCACGGCCCUUAGCCUUGGGCUACACACGUGCUACAAUGGCCGGUACAGAGAGCAGCCACCUCGCAGGGGGANCGAAUCUACAAAGCCGGUCACAGUUCGGAUCGGAGUCUGC